This 448-nucleotide ribosomal RNA is filed under the name uncultured bacterium. RNAcentral describes it as "partial 16S ribosomal RNA". It matches the Rfam family "Bacterial small subunit ribosomal RNA", at positions 330 to 792 of the family's 1533-position model. The record is from RNAcentral.
CCCAGACUCCUACGGGAGGCAGCAGUGGGGAAUAUUGGGGAAUGGGCGCAAGCCUGACCCAGCAACGCCGCGUGAAGGAAGAAGGCUUUCGGGUUGUAAACUUCUUUUAUUCGGGACGAAGAAAGUGACGGUACCGAAUGAAUAAGCCACGGCUAACUACGUGCCAGCAGCCGCGGUAAUACGUAGGUGGCACGCGUUAUCCGGAUUUAUUGGGUGUAAAGGGCGUGUAGGCGGGAAUGCAAGUCAGAUGUGAAAACUCAGGGCUCAACCCUGAGCCUGCAUUUGAAACUGUAUUUCUUGAGUGCUGGAGAGGCAAUCGGAAUUCCGUGUGUAGCGGUGAAAUGCGUAGAUAUACGGAGGAACACCAGUGGCGAAGGCGGAUUGCUGGACAGUAACUGACGCUGAGGCGCGAAAGCGUGGGGAGCAAACAGGAUUAGAUACCCCAGUC